UACGGAGGGAGCUAGCGUUGUUCGGAAUUACUGGGCGUAAAGCGCACGUAGGCGGCUUUUUAAGUCAGGGGUGAAAUCCCGGGGCUCAACCCCGGAACUGCCCUUGAAACUGGAAGGCUAGAGUCUUGGAGAGGCGAGUGGAAUUCCGAGUGUAGAGGUGAAAUUCGUAGAUAUUCGGAAGAACACCAGUGGCGAAGGCGACUCGCUGGACAAGUAUUGACGCUGAGGUGCGAAAGCGUGGGGAGCAAACAGG
RNAcentral lists this ribosomal RNA (253 nucleotides) under uncultured bacterium. RNAcentral's name for it is "partial 16S ribosomal RNA". It matches the Rfam family "Bacterial small subunit ribosomal RNA", at positions 524 to 776 of the family's 1533-position model. The record is from RNAcentral.